RNAcentral lists this ribosomal RNA (492 nucleotides) under uncultured bacterium. Its description in RNAcentral is "partial 16S ribosomal RNA". It matches the Rfam family "Bacterial small subunit ribosomal RNA", at positions 29 to 507 of the family's 1533-position model. The record is from RNAcentral.
AUUGAACGCUGGCGGCAUGCUUUACACAUGCAAGUCGAACGGUAACAGGCCUUCGGGUGCUGACGAGUGGCGAACGGGUGAGUAAUGCAUCGGAACGUACCCAGAGGUGGGGGAUAACGCAGCGAAAGCUGUGCUAAUACCGCAUGUGAUCUGAGGAUGAAAGCGGGGGACCGAGCAGCAAUGUUUGGCCUCGCGCCUUUGGAGCGGCCGAUGUCGGAUUAGCUAGUUGGUGGGGUAAAGGCCUACCAAGGCGACGAUCCAUAGCUGGUCUGAGAGGACGACCAGCCACACUGGGACUGAGACACGGCCCAGACUCCUACGGGAGGCAGCAGUGGGGAAUUUUGGACAAUGGGCGCAAGCCUGAUCCAGCAAUGCCGCGUGCGGGAAGAAGGCCUUCGGGUUGUAAACCGCUUUUGGCAGGAACGAAACGGUGUCCGCUAAUACCGGGCGCUAAUGACGGUACCUGCAGAAUAAGCACCGGCUAACUACGUG